UCAGGUUGCUGUGUUUGCUGGUGGUGUUGAUACCUCUGCAACUGAGACCAAAGGAACUGUCCUAAUUCAUACUGCUGAUCAGCUAGAAAAUUAUGCAAAGACUGAAGAAGCUAAAGUUGAGGAGCUCAUCAAAGCAGUUGCUGAUUCAGGUGCGAAAGUAAUUGUGAGUGGAGCAGCAGUUGGAGAGAUGGCACUGCAUUUCUGUGAGCGUUACAAGCUUAUGGUGCUGAAAAUCAGUUCAAAAUUUGAAUUGAGACGAUUUUGCCGUACAACGGGUGCUGUUGCUAUGUUGAAGCUUUGCCAGCCUAACCCAGAUGAUCUGGGAUAUGUUGACUCUGUCUCGGUUGAGGAAAUUGCUGGUGUUAG
Non-coding RNA from Prunus avium (sweet cherry), 366 nucleotides. NCBI's taxonomy places the organism in Eukaryota, Viridiplantae, Streptophyta, Magnoliopsida, Rosales, Rosaceae. The record is from RefSeq and is a predicted model, not a curated record.